AUUUUAUCACUCUUCUAUUCUGAAGCAUGGAUUAAUUGUGCAAGAUCAGGGUGGGAGAAAAAUCAUGACAGAUGAUACAGCCCUGUGCUCCAACUAUUGGCAAGAACAAUGUUUGGGGCCUUGGCGGAACUGGGCCAUAUGAACUCACAUCCAUACACCACUGGGCUAAAGUUCUUCAUAAGAGGAAUGGAUGAGAAGAUGGAGACAGAGCUGCAUGGGAAACAAAGCAUCGUGGCAGCAUAGUACAAUGUUAAGAGCAUUUAUGGACUUCGAAAGUUUGGGUUUCAGCCCCAUACCUGAUAGUCUCAAAUGUCAUGUCAAAGUCUCAGAUUCUUCACCUGAAAAAUAAAUAACAGUUUAUGUUUGAGGA
Molecule: long non-coding RNA, 370 nt
Filed under: Vulpes vulpes (red fox)
Lineage: Eukaryota; Metazoa; Chordata; Mammalia; Carnivora; Canidae
Description: lncRNA (ENSVVUG00000014053.1)
Source: RNAcentral